RNAcentral lists this ribosomal RNA (253 nucleotides) under uncultured bacterium. RNAcentral's name for it is "partial 16S ribosomal RNA". It matches the Rfam family "Bacterial small subunit ribosomal RNA", at positions 524 to 776 of the family's 1533-position model. The record is from RNAcentral.
UACGUAGGGUGCGAGCGUUAAUCGGAAUUACUGGGCGUAAAGCGUGCGCAGGCGGUUUUGUAAGCCAGAUGUGAAAGCCCCGGGCUUAACCUGGGAAUGGCAUUUGGGACUGCAAGGCUAGAGUGUGGCAGAGGAGACUGGAAUUCCUGGUGUAGCAGUGAAAUGCGUAGAGAUCGGGAGGAACACCCGUGGCGAAGGCGGCUCACUGGGCCGGUCCUGACGCUGAGACGCGAAGGCGUGGGGAGCGAACGGG